This 545-nucleotide unclassified non-coding RNA is filed under the name Poa apiculata. RNAcentral's name for it is "partial external transcribed spacer". Lineage: Eukaryota; Viridiplantae; Streptophyta; Magnoliopsida; Poales; Poaceae. The record is from RNAcentral.
UGGUUUUGGACCUGUGUCUGCCAGAAGAUCCACCGUCUUUGUGCGGCCGACUACUGGCGCCUUGUCUCGUUGGCUUGUUGGCUUAUGUUGCCGUUGCCUUUCAAAACUUUGCAUGUUCGAACCCAAACUCCGGGUAGUGGUGCUUUGUAUUCGGUUGCCUCGCGGUGGCCGCCUUUGGGUGUGUUGCUGUGGCCUAAUGGUGCUUGCGGCGUUUUCGUGUUGUGCCGGCAUGUUUACUCUGACGAUGCAAUCAAGAAAACCUUGCUCUCGCUGUUGGUCUCGGAUGUUGCCUACUUUAAAGUAUCUUGGCGAAGUUGCCUUGACCCUACCCUAAGAAGCUCUCCGAACUGAGAACAACCGGAACAGGUGUUGCCUCUACCUCUCCACAGUUAGUGGUAGGAUUACGCAACAUUCUGCGCCGAUCCUCAGACAAGUAGGAACGAGCUUGGCCAACUCAAUUGCGACAACCGGCGCGGCUGUUGGCUCUGCCUUGACACGCAAGUGGAUUGGUGGACAACUUCCGAUGCUGGACGUCAGAGAGGACG